CUGUAGGGUGACUGCGGAGGACAUUAUUGAAUUAAUGUAGAGUUUGGUUGUAGCUGGCUCCUAAUUAAACUUGGGGGCAUGUGCACACCUUUCUCUUUCAUCCCAUACACACCUGUGCACCUGUGAGACAGAUGUUUUGUGGGGGGGAAGGAACUUUAUUGGACCUUCUACUCCCCCUUGACUUCUGUCUACUUAAUUCAUAUAAACUCAAUUUAUUUUAAAACGGAUGUAAUGGAUGUAACACAUCUAAUACUAAGUUUCAACAACGGAUCUCUUGGCUCUCGCAUCGAUGAAGAACGCAGCGAAAUGCGAUAAGUAAUGUGAAUUGCAGAAUUCAGUGAAUCAUCGAAUCUUUGAACGCACCUUGCGCUCCUUGGUAUUCCUUGGAGCAUGCCUGUUUGAGUAUCAUGAAAUCUUCAAAGUCAAACCUUUUGUUAAUUCAAUUGGUUCUGCUUUGGUAUUGGAGGAUUAUUGCAGCUUCACACCUGCUCCUCUUUGUGCAUUAGCUGGAUCUCAGUGUUAUGCUUGGUUCCACUCAGCGUGAUAAGUUAUCUAUCGCUGAGGACACCCUGUUAAAAAGGGGUGGCCAAGGUAAAUGCAGAUGAACCGCUUCUAAUAGUCCAUUGACUUGGACAAUAUCUAAUUUAUGAUCUGAUCUCAAAUCAGGUAGGACUACCCGCUGAACUUAAGCAUAUCAAA
Molecule: ribosomal RNA, 699 nt
Filed under: Rhizoctonia solani
Lineage: Eukaryota; Fungi; Basidiomycota; Agaricomycetes; Cantharellales; Ceratobasidiaceae
Description: eukaryotic LSU rRNA
Rfam family: 5.8S ribosomal RNA (bases 255-408)
Source: RNAcentral